This 450-nucleotide ribosomal RNA is filed under the name uncultured bacterium. RNAcentral's name for it is "partial 16S ribosomal RNA". It matches the Rfam family "Bacterial small subunit ribosomal RNA", at positions 354 to 796 of the family's 1533-position model. The record is from RNAcentral.
GUGGGGAAUUUUGGACAAUGGGCGCAAGCCUGAUCCAGCAAUGCCGCGUGCAGGAAGAAGGCCUUCGGGUUGUAAACUGCUUUUGUACGGAACGAAACGGUCCGGGUUAAUACCCUGGGCUAAUGACGGUACCGUAAGAAUAAGCACCGGCUAACUACGUGCCAGCAGCCGCGGUAAUACGUAGGGUGCAAGCGUUAAUCGGAAUUACUGGGCGUAAAGCGUGCGCAGGCGGUUUCGUAAGACAGGCGUGAAAUCCCCGGGCUCAACCUGGGAAUUGCGCUUGUGACUGCAAGGCUGGAGUGCGGCAGAGGGGGAUGGAAUUCCGCGUGUAGCAGUGAAAUGCGUAGAUAUGCGGAGGAACACCGAUGGCGAAGGCAAUCCCCUGGGCCUGCACUGACGCUCAUGCACGAAAGCGUGGGGAGCAAACAGGAUUAGAAACCCCAGUAGUCC